GCCGCCGUGGCUCAGUAGGUAGAGCGACAGCCUGUUAAGUUGUUGGUCGCAGGUUCGAGCCCUGCCGGCGGCGCCA
RNAcentral lists this transfer RNA (76 nucleotides) under Candidatus Thorarchaeota archaeon. RNAcentral describes it as "tRNA-Asn". It matches the Rfam family "tRNA". Rfam says of the family: Transfer RNA (tRNA) molecules are approximately 80 nucleotides in length. Their secondary structure includes four short double-helical elements and three loops (D, anti-codon, and T loops). RNAcentral also lists the same sequence under 1 other name. Lineage: Archaea; Promethearchaeati; Candidatus Thorarchaeota. The record is from RNAcentral.